Molecule: ribosomal RNA, 443 nt
Filed under: uncultured bacterium
Lineage: Bacteria
Description: partial 16S ribosomal RNA
Rfam family: Bacterial small subunit ribosomal RNA
Source: RNAcentral
CCUACGGGGUGCAGCAGUGGGGGAUAUUGGACAAUGGGGGAAACCCUGAUCCAGCGACGCCGCGUGAGUGAAGAAGUAUUUCGGUAUGUAAAGCUCUAUCAGCAGGGAAGAAAGAAAUGACGGUACCUGAGUAAGAAGCCCCGGCUAACUACGUGCCAGCAGCCGCGGUAAUACGUAGGGGGCAAGCGUUAUCCGGAAUUACUGGGUGUAAAGGGAGCGUAGACGGUAAUGCAAGUCUGGAGUGAAAGGCGGGGGCCCAACCCCCGGACUGCUCUGGAAACUGUGUAACUGGAGUGCAGGAGAGGGAGGGGGAAUUCCUAGUGGAGCGGUGAAAAGCGGAGAUAUUAGGAGGAAAACCAGGGGCGAAGGGGGGCUGCUGGACUGUAAACGACGUUGAGGCCCGAAAGGGUGGGGAGCAAACAGGAUUAGAUACCCCAGUAGUC